UACGAAGGGGGCUAGCGUUGCUCGGAAUGACUGGGCGUAAAGGGCGCGUAGGCGGCUCAUACAGUCAGAUGUGAAAUUCCUGGGCUUAACCUGGGGGCUGCAUUUGAUACGUGUGGGCUUGAGUGGGGAAGAGGGUCGUGGAAUUCCCAGUGUAGAGGUGAAAUUCGUAGAUAUUGGGAAGAACACCAGUGGCGAAGGCGGCUCACUGGCCCGAUACUGACGCUGAGGUGCGAAAGCGUGGGGAGCAAACAGG
Molecule: ribosomal RNA, 253 nt
Filed under: uncultured bacterium
Lineage: Bacteria
Description: partial 16S ribosomal RNA
Rfam family: Bacterial small subunit ribosomal RNA
Source: RNAcentral